GACGAACGCUGGCGGCGUGCCUAAUACAUGCAAGUAGAGCGCACAGUUUAUACCGUAGCUUGCUACACCAUAGACUGUGAGUUGCGAACGGGUGAGUAACGCGUAGGUAACCUGCCUGGUAGCGGGGGAUAACUAUUGGAAACGAUAGCUAAUACCGCAUAAUAUUAAUUAUUGCAUGAUAAUUAAUUGAAAGGUGCAAUUGCACCACUACCAGAUGGACCUGCGUUGUAUUAGCUAGUAGGUGAGGUAACGGCUCACCUAGGCGACGGUACAUAGCCGAACCGGGGAGGUGGACGGCCCCACCGGGAAUUGGACCCGGGCCCGGACUCUUACGGAGGGAGCAGGAGGGGAUCCUUGGGAAAGGGCGGAAGGCUUACCGGGGAACGGCGGCGUGAGGGAGGAAGGUUUCGGAUCGUAAAGCUCCGUUUUAAGAGAAGAACGGGUGUGAGAGUGGAAAGUUCACACUGUGACGGUAGCUUACCAGAAAGGGACGGCUAACUACGUG
RNAcentral lists this ribosomal RNA (505 nucleotides) under uncultured bacterium. RNAcentral's name for it is "partial 16S ribosomal RNA". It matches the Rfam family "Bacterial small subunit ribosomal RNA", at positions 28 to 507 of the family's 1533-position model. The record is from RNAcentral.